UACGUAGGGGGCAAGCGUUGUCCGGAUUUAUUGGGCGUAAAGAGCGUGUAGGCGGUCAGGUAGGUCCGUUGUGAAAACUCGAGGCUCAACCUCGAGACGCCGAUGGAAACCAUCUGACUAGAGUCCUGAAGAGGAGAGUGGAAUUCCUGGUGUAGCGGUGAAAUGCGCAGAUAUCAGGAAGAACACCCGUGGCUAAGGCGGCUCUCUAGUACGGUACUGACGCUGAGACGCGAAAGCGUGGGGAGCGAACAGG
Molecule: ribosomal RNA, 253 nt
Filed under: uncultured bacterium
Lineage: Bacteria
Description: partial 16S ribosomal RNA
Rfam family: Bacterial small subunit ribosomal RNA
Source: RNAcentral